CAGCCUCGAGGCGUCCCCCUCUCUGGUGGGUCCCCAGCCCUCCUUCGCUCUGCUGCAGCUGCUGGCCUCUCCUCUCUUCCUCCACCACAUUUAACUCUGCUCCGCAUAAGGCCCUUUGCACCUGGAAUCCUCUCCCUGCAGAUCCGCACGUGGCUGCUCAGGGCUCCGCCCAAAGCUGAGCUGCUCAGAGAGCGUCCUUGAGCCCCAAGCCAAGGUAGCCCCCAGGCACCCUCUGCUGUGCCUUCUUCCUGCAUCGUAGUCUGGCACCGUCUCCUCCUGCUAGAAGGCAAGCUCCAGGGCAGCCUGGACAAGUUCGCCGUGUUCCCUGCAGGGUCCCACCUUCUAGAACUUGAACUCCCUCCCUGCAGGACGCCGUGGGAGCUGCGUCUUGGUCACAUUGCUAAACCCUUUCAACAAACCCCUUUGUCGGGCAGGAGUUCCACCAGCCCCUUAGUUUUGGUUUCUGAAACUUAACUAAGAUUCCGCAUUAGAGCACGGAUCCAGCCUCGGAGGAUGGAGAACCCUCUGGCUGAUCGGCUCCUCUCGUUUGAUGCGAAGUCCUUUGACUUCCUCCACCUGCUGCCCCCGCCUCACUCCAUCUGCCUCCACGGCCAGGCUGGCCUGGUGACACAGCGUCAUGGACACACUCUGGGUCAAGAUUUCUCCUGUGUGACCUGCACUGUCAGCCGAGCUGGAGAGUCAUUUUCCUGGAAGGAGAAUGAAUUGGAACACCAGCUUUGCCUUGGCUGUCGGGGUGGCGCUGGGGUGGGGGUGGGAGUCUGAAGAGGUCAUCUCUUGGUUUCCUCGUCUCUUGAUCUUGCCCUUGACCUCUGCCCCUGGAUGAUUUGAGAAGGAAGAAUAAUAGCUCAUAUUUUUGACCAUUUUCUAUGAGCCAGACACUAUUCUGAGCCUUUUAGAUUCUUAGAAUAUUGAAUUCACAUAACCUGGUGAAUUCACAUAACCUUGUGAAAGAGAACAAUGAUUGUUCUCACUUGUAACAGGUGAGAAAACUGGGAUCCAGGGAAGUUAAGUAACUUGCCCAACGUCACACAGCUGGUAAAAAUGAGAACAGGAGUUUGCUGCAGGCUGCCCCAUUCCCGGCUUCACCACCCCACAUCUCUUAAGCAAGAUAACCUGCAUGAACAAGCCCUGUUGAAUGUGAUACCCCCACAGGAGGAUUU
This 1181-nucleotide long non-coding RNA is filed under the name Equus asinus (donkey). RNAcentral's name for it is "lncRNA (ENSEASG00005034468.1)". Lineage: Eukaryota; Metazoa; Chordata; Mammalia; Perissodactyla; Equidae. The record is from RNAcentral.